RNAcentral lists this long non-coding RNA (1523 nucleotides) under Monodelphis domestica (gray short-tailed opossum). RNAcentral describes it as "lncRNA (ENSMODG00000039630.1)". The record is from RNAcentral. Lineage: Eukaryota; Metazoa; Chordata; Mammalia; Didelphimorphia; Didelphidae.
AGGAGAAGACAAAUGCAGUUUUUGCUCUAGUCCAUUUGUGGGAUAGAGAGGCAGGGAAGGGGGAGGGCCCAAAUUGCACGCAAUCUCUCCUCCCCCGCUUCUCCAGGCAUCCAGUCCUAAACUAGUCAGCCCGGGCUCCUCUAACCUCCACUUCUCCCAGACAGACAGCCGAGGCUCCGUCUCUGCCUAGACCGGGUGAAGGGGAGCGGUGGAUCAAAGGCAGGAGCGAUGCCGGGGCAAGCCUGGCACUUUCUCCUCCUGCUGAUCACAGGACUGGGAUGUCCCAAGAACAAUCGUGCCCAACAGCAGCAGAAGCGGGCACUAUCCCAUCUGCAACAGACUCAUCAGCAAAGAGGAAUGAUUUUCAGCUCAGUAGAAACAAUCUAUAAAAUUUGACUCUUAAUGAGAUGGAAAGGUGGUCCAUGCCCUUUAACAUAGGGACCUUGUUUUGAAAAUUGUCCAAAUGACCUCUUGUGUGAAAAAAGCCUUAUUGAGAACUACUGUACCUAACAGAAGAAUUUGAUCUCAGCUAUUAACAUUUAAUUGCAAGGAUGGCUCUACUGGCUAGCUUUUGCUCUUAUUAACAAUGAACCAAUCAUCCUGCCAAUCUAAUGGCUAAGCAGGUAAGUUCCCAAUAUAAUAGCAAUUAGGCUGGUAACAAUGUUUUCCAUUAGAAUGCCUGGUAAACUAGGUACAGUAAUAUGUCUGGAAUCAUCCCCUAGAAUAACAAUCCUUUAAAUCCUUUUCCAUAAUUUCACUUGAUGUUAACAUCUGAUUUCCUAGGAUAAAUGCAAAGAUUGUUUUUCAGUCACUUCAGUUGUGCCCAAUUCUUUGUGACCCUACUUGGAGUUUUCUUUGCAAAGAUACUAGGGUGGUUUGCCAUUUCCUUUUCUAGGUCAUUUUUCAGAUGAGGAAAUUAAGGCAAAUAGGUUUAAAUGAUUUGCUCAGGGUCACACAGAUAGUAAGUGUUUGAAGACAGAUUUGAAUUCAGGAAGAUUAGUCUUCCUGACUCAAGGUCCACAUAUCUCUAUCCAGUGUACCACCUGGUAGCCCAAAUGAAAGGUUAGGCAUAUUAAUUCUCUUAAACUUAUGAAAGACUUUAAAAAUGUUUGGUUUGAAAGUUUUGUUUGGGAAUUGUGGUUCCUAUUUUAUGACUGUUUUGGAUCAGUUACAAAAUAUUAAGAAUAUUAAGUAUAUAUUAGAUUUAUUUGAAAUAUUUAGUUAAUUAAGGCCUGUUGACUCAGUGGAAAGAUACAGCUUAAAGUUAUUUUCAAUUUUAUUAAAGAUUAAGAGUGUGUAUAGCACAAUGGAGAAAGAACUGGCCUUCAAGUCUGAGAUAGGGCCUCUGUCAUAUGCUAGGAUCUGCCUGAGCCUGAUUAAGUCUCUUAAUCACUCAGUGGUUUAGGUAGCAAUUUAAUAUUGUAAUUUACAAAAAAGUUAUUAAUCUGAAUUGAUAGAAAUAGUUUCCUAAUUAAGGACAUUUCCUGUUUACUGGAAUAAAAUUCUAGACUUAUUUCCUUUCA